UCCAAGAAUCUCACGGACUUUAUACUGC
Molecule: small RNA, 28 nt
Filed under: Bombyx mori (domestic silkworm)
Lineage: Eukaryota; Metazoa; Arthropoda; Insecta; Lepidoptera; Bombycidae
Description: piRNA piR-bmo-1734524
Source: RNAcentral